This 253-nucleotide ribosomal RNA is filed under the name uncultured bacterium. RNAcentral describes it as "partial 16S ribosomal RNA". It matches the Rfam family "Bacterial small subunit ribosomal RNA", at positions 524 to 776 of the family's 1533-position model. The record is from RNAcentral.
UACGUAGGGACCGAGCGUUGUCCGGAAUCAUUGGGCGUAAAGAGCGUGUAGGCGGCCACUUAAGUCCUGCGUGAAAUCUUGCGGCUCAACCGCAAGCGGUCGUGGGAAACUGGGUGGCUAGAGUGCGGGAGAGGAGAGUGGAAUUCCUGGUGUAGCGGUGGAAUGCGCAGAUAUCAGGAAGAACACCCGUGGCGAAGGCGGCUCUCUGGACCGGUAUUGACGCUGAGGCGCGAAAGCCAGGGGAGCAAACGGG